RNAcentral lists this ribosomal RNA (416 nucleotides) under uncultured Anaerolineaceae bacterium. Its description in RNAcentral is "bacterial SSU rRNA". It matches the Rfam family "Bacterial small subunit ribosomal RNA", at positions 349 to 782 of the family's 1533-position model. Lineage: Bacteria; Bacillati; Chloroflexota; Anaerolineae; Anaerolineales; Anaerolineaceae. The record is from RNAcentral.
CAGCAGUAGGGAAUAUUAGAAAUGGACGAAAGUCUGAUCUAGCAACACCGCGUGUGCGAAGAAGGCCUUCGGGUCGUAAAGCACUUUUUGGAAGGAAUAGGAAGGAAUGUACUUCCAGAAUAAGUCUCGGCUAACUACGUGCCAGCAGCCGCGGUAACACGUAGGAGGCGAACGUUAUCCGGAUUUACUGGGCGUAAAGCGCGUGUAGGUGGUUCUGUAAGUAGGGCGUGAAAGCUCCUGGCUCAACUGGGAGAGGCCGUUCUAAACUACAGAACUAGAGGAUGGUAGAGGGAGGUGGAAUUCCAGGUGUAGCGGUGGAAUGCGCAGAUAUCUGGAGGAACACCAGUGGCGAAGGCGGCCUCCUGGACCAUUCCUGACACUCAGACGCGAAAGCUAGGGUAGCAAACGGGAUUAGA